This 450-nucleotide ribosomal RNA is filed under the name uncultured bacterium. Its description in RNAcentral is "bacterial SSU rRNA". It matches the Rfam family "Bacterial small subunit ribosomal RNA", at positions 354 to 796 of the family's 1533-position model. The record is from RNAcentral.
GUGGGGAAUCUUCCGCAAUGGACGAAAGUCUGACGGAGCAACGCCGCGUGAGUGAUGAAGGCCUUCGGGUUGUAAAACUCUGUUGUCAGGGACGAAAGCACCGAUCUAUAAUACAUUUUGGUGUUGACGGUACCUGACGAGGAAGCCACGGCUAACUACGUGCCAGCAGCCGCGGUAAUACGUAGGUGGCAAGCGUUGUCCGGAAUUAUUGGGCGUAAAGAGCAUGUAGGCGGGCUUUUAAGUCCGACGUGAAAAUGCGGGGCUUAACCCCGUAUGGCGUUGGAUACUGGAAGUCUUGAGUGCAGGAGAGGAAAGGGGAAUUCCCAGUGUAGCGGUGAAAUGCGUAGAUAUUGGGAGGAACACCAGUGGCGAAGGCGCCUUUCUGGACUGUGUCUGACGCUGAGAUGCGAAAGCCAGGGUAGCAAACGGGAUUAGAAACCCGAGUAGUCC